Molecule: ribosomal RNA, 300 nt
Filed under: Triticum aestivum (bread wheat)
Lineage: Eukaryota; Viridiplantae; Streptophyta; Magnoliopsida; Poales; Poaceae
Description: partial small subunit ribosomal RNA
Source: RNAcentral
AUGUCUUCCUCCGGCGCCUUCUCACCAAGCCUUAACAAUCAUGUCACAGAGAAGCUGUCACGCAUGAACUACGUGCUAUGGCGCACGCAGAUCACACCUCAGCUGUGCGGCGCCGGUGUCUUCGGCUACGUCGACGGCACCAACCCGAAGCCAGCCAAGCUCCUCGUCACCGUCAAGGAGGGGAAGGAGACUUCAUCGCCCAACCCUCUCCACCCUAUAUGGGUACGGGAGGACCAGCAAGUCCUUGGCUACCUGCUGAAUAACCUCACAAAAGAGGUCCUGGUCACGGUGAUCAUGGUC